CUGAGUUGAAAAGGAAGCUGCGAAGGUAUACGGUGGCCUCCCCUACUCAGACGCCCAUGCUGGCCGCCCCCAACCUCCCUGCCCACCAACUCCCAGGCUUAUUCACCAACCACUCCACCAGCUCUGACCCUGACUUCUGGGGUUCCCAUCUCAGUCCUCAGCCUGUGCUGCUGCCCCCUGAAGAGCAUCCUUCCAGGCCCCCGUCGGCUGGCCGGGGCUUAGCUCUAAGGUUACUCCAGAGGCCGUCCUGACCAGUCUGAUGCCGCCCCUCCCUGAUCACUGUCUUGGCCCCAUUACAAUUUAUGCUCUGGUGCCUUGGGAUGGAGUCACUGUCCAUGUUGCCAGAGACAGUGCGGCCAGGUGGACUCUCCCCUGGAGCUGGAGUCUGAGUCCAGCCCAAGUCCAGGGCAGGCACUCCGAGAAUGAGUGUUCUGCCUGCUGGGUCUCCUGAGGGCCAAGGGGCUCUGCUGGAGCUGGGGGCAUGGCUUGGCACCCGCAUCCCUGUCUGUGCUUCUCCUACUUAAGGAUCCUUUGUCUGACCUGGCUCUCCUACCAGAUGCCAUCACCUAUCUGCAGCCUGUGUCCUCAGCACUGUCCAGCAUAUAGUAGGUGCUCAGUAAAUGUCUGGGGCAGAACCCACUCACUUGCCUGUAUGUGCUAGGCCCUGUGCAUGUGUCACAGCAGCCAAGGGACAGACAAAAAACAGGCCCAGGAGCUGCUCAGAGCCAAGCUACCUUCUGGGAAGGUUUGACAGCGCCUAUGGGGUCCUGGGACCUGAUGUAUCCACUCCAGCCAGUCCUGCCCGUGGAUUCAGCUCUGUUCUCACGGGGGACCUGGAAAGUGAACAAGAUGCACCCACGAAGUUGGGUGGUGGGGGGGGACAUGGAGGGACACACAGGGAGCUCAGGAGGAAUGGGCAGGGAGGUCAGUAGGUGACCUGGGAUGAUGGCGAGGGGCCAUGCAGAAGUCUGGGAAGAAGGUUUGAGGGCAAGGAAGCCUUUGCACAAGUCCUGUGAGCUGGGCUGGUGUUGGGGAAGCAGUGAGGUGCGGGGGCAGGUAGGGGCAGUCGCAUAGAGCUGGAGAUGACCAACUGGGCAGAGUGUGAUGGGAGGGUUUCCUAACCUCUUUCCUAUAACAGAGAGAUUAUUAGAUAGAUUGAUAGAUGGUAGAUACGUGGGUGGAUGGAUGGAUGGAUGAACAGACGGACGGACGGAUGAUGGAUGGAUGGUCAGAUAGAUUAGAUGAUUAGAUAGAUUAGAUAGAUAAUAGAUGAUAGAUGCUGGAUGGUCAGAUGGAUGAUUAGAUAGAGAUGAUUGAUAGAAGCUGUUGUAUUUGAUGGAAAAGAGUAAAAGAUGAAAAGAUUGACUGAUAGAUGAGAAAUAGAUGACAUAUGGAUAGCUUGAUAGAUGACGGAUAGAAGAUAGAUGUGAAGGCAGGCAUAGAUCUCAGUGGGUUGUUCCAAGGUGAAGAGGUACCGCUGUGCCAGCCCGAAGCCCAGUCUCGGCCCCUCACUCCCUUACAGGGAUCCCUUGCUCAGGUCUCUUCAUGGCUUAGGUGCCCUGUGCGUGUCCUUGACACUGCUUAUUCCUGCCCACCUAAAAGCACUGGAAGUGUCUUCUAAGUCUUGUUGGAUCUACAGGCUCCCUCUCCCAGGGCAGUGCUUUCUAUCUGGUUCAUCCUUGAAGGACCUGGCCCAUUCAUUCCCAUGUGCAGAGUAAGGAUGAGGGCAGCUCAUGUCAGAUGAGUGGGGAGGCAACUGGACCUCCAUUCAAGGUGCUGGGCCCAGGCCUGGUACGGCCAGGCAGGGAGGAGCACCUGAUUCUGGGUGUAUUGGCCAUUUGUGACAGAACCCACGCCACACCCUACGCCCAGCCCUCCCCUCCAUUUCCUAGGGCCUCCUCUUCCACCUGUGUUCAAUCAGAGUGGAGUGCCUGUUUCUUCACUGCAUUAUUCUUUUUUUUUUUUUUU
RNAcentral lists this long non-coding RNA (1968 nucleotides) under Homo sapiens (human). Its description in RNAcentral is "HSALNT0152217". The record is from RNAcentral. Lineage: Eukaryota; Metazoa; Chordata; Mammalia; Primates; Hominidae.